RNAcentral lists this long non-coding RNA (4808 nucleotides) under Gossypium barbadense (sea-island cotton). Its description in RNAcentral is "long non-coding RNA (GBAR_LNC014041)". The record is from RNAcentral. Lineage: Eukaryota; Viridiplantae; Streptophyta; Magnoliopsida; Malvales; Malvaceae.
ACCAAUUUCGGUUAACCGACCGGUUUCGAACCGAAUUAACCGUUAAUCGAAAUAUCAUAAAAAAUUAACUGACCCCCGACCGAAAAAUUUCGGUUAACCGACCGAUUAACCGAAUUCUGUCGGUUAACCGAAUUUUUUCGGUUUUACCCGAAUUAUGCACACCCCUACCUGUACUAGUGUACUUUUACAAAAUUUCAUUAACUCUGUUAAAAAAAUUAAGUAUAAUCACAAAUUUAGCCCUUCAAGUUUUACAACUUUUGUUAAUUUAACCCUACUCUUUUUAUUUUUACUUUCAUUAUUAAAAAUUAUAGGAAAAUAAAAAAAACUAAAAUUUAAUAUUAAUCACCAUUAGAUUAGAAUCCACUAACUAUUUAAUUAAUUAUGAGUUUAUUCUUACAGGAUUAAAACAUUAGUUUUCUCGAUAAUGAACUUUAGAAAAACCCCUCUCUUCCAAGUUGGAAGUUCCAACUCUUCCUACUUCUUUCAUAUUCCCUCAACUCUUAUGGAAAGAAGAAAGGAAAGAAAGUCUUCAUGUCCUUUUUUUUUGCAUGGUUUCUUUUGAUUUUCCAGAUACUCACAAGAAACAACGUUUUAGCUUACGGGAAAAUCCAAACUGCAUAAAUCCAAUCCAAAUCCAAAAUGAAGAAAAGAAAUUAAUGAAUUUCAAACUGCAUAAAUCCAAUCCAAAUUCAUAAAUAGAAGCAUCUCUAUUUCUCAAUCCCAUUAUUUUCCUACUAGUAGAUAAACAUUUUUAGCUUAUGGAAAAAUCUACUAAUCUGCUAAUUUGAAAAAUGUUGUACAAAGUAAACUAAAAGAAAAUCAAAUUAAAUUAAAUUCUAAAAAGAAAAUGUAAAUGAAAGCUUACGGGAAAGGAAGCUAAGGUAAGCCAAAUCGAUUUCAAUGUCAAUUGUUUCUGCAAUAAAACAAAGCAAAAACAAAAAAGAUGAGAUUAAAUGAAGAAACUAAGCUUGUGAUCUCAGUAAACAUUAUAACAAAUUCAUUCAACUCAAAUCCCAUGCAAUUUCAAAAUUCUGAGAACUUCAUUCCAGAUAUAGCAUGAAUUAAGCAAUUGUAAGUAACAAUAUUUGGUCUAAUGCCCUUAACCGUCACAUGAGAGAAUAGAUCAAGAGCCUCAUUUAGUGAUCCCUUCUUACAAACUACAAAGACAGUCAAUGAUAGUGUUAUAUGCGACAAUAUUGGGUUCAAAACUUAAUUCAAUGACAAUGAAAUAUACUAUUUAUAUUGGUAAUUUAAUGGUAUAGUUGUUAAGUAAAUAAAAAUAUUGCAAAGAAUACUAUACUAGUAGAAGGCGUAGGUUAUGACUUGAUCCAAUAGAGUCAGAACACCUUUCUAUCUAAAAGGAAACGAUCCAGAUUCCACAAUAUGCUGUGGGCUGGAGAGGGAGCUACUCUGCGAAACUGGGCGUUCAGUGUUCUUAUGGGGGAACCAUACUAGAAAGAGAAUGUAACUGCCCAAUUUUGGCCCUAAUCGGUAUAGUGGUUUCAGGACCACAAAUCUGAAUCUAAAAAAUAUUUUUAAUAUUAUUUUUUGCGUUAAUUAUGUGUGAAUUUACAUGUGUGAAAGUUUCGUGAAUUAAUUUUAUUGUUUGUGUGUUUAAUUUAAUAAAAGGACUUAAUUGCGUAAUAUGUGAAAUUAACUAAUUAAUAUGUAAAGUUCUAACUUGCUAAUGUCUUUAUAAUGUGAAGUCCUUAAUAGGAAAUUUGGCCAUUUAUUUAGAUAGUGGACGGCAUUAUGUUAUAAUAUAUAUAGUUUUUAUAUUAUUUAUAAAGCUUAUAAUAUAAUAAUAAUAAUAAUAAUAAUAAUAAUAAUAAUAAUAAUAAUAAUAAUAAGAGAAGACAAACAUUAAAGUGGCCAUUUUCACUUAUUCUUGGCCGAAACUAAAAGAGAAAGAAAAUAAGAAACAAGCUAGGUAUUCGACACUUUCAAGUCUUGAUUAAGGUAUGUAUUUUGUUGGGUUUUUGAUAAUUUUUACGUUUUUGAGAUCGUUGUUUCGUGUUCUUUAAAACCCAUGUCUUAAUUUUGUGAAUUGUGGAUAAUUUUGAAAUGUGCCAUUGAUGAAUGUUUGAGUUUCAUGAUGUUAGUUGAUGAAAUGUGAAAUAUAAGUGUUAGAUUAACAUAUUUUGUCUUUGAAUUUUUGGUGAAUUUGAGUAAUUAGGGCUAAAUUGAGAAAAUAAAAUUUUGAGGGACUAAAAUGCAAAAUAAAUGAAACGCAUGGGCUUGUAUGAAUACAAGGAAAAUUCGAUCCUUAAGGAGUAUAGUUAAAUUUUGUGUUUUGAGCAAAAAGGAUUAAAUUGUAAAAAGUGUGAAAUAUUAGGGGCAAAAUUGUAAUUUUCCUAUUUAUGUGUAUUUAGGCCAAAUUGAAUAGAAUGGUGUUUAAAUAAGCUUAAUUUGAAUAUGUUUAGAUCAAGAAUUAAAGAAAUCGGAUUUGGAUCAUGAAAAGACAAAAGUGGUCGAGUUGCCGAUUUAACCAUUCAACAACGUCCGAGGUAAGUCAAUAAGCAUUUAAAUGUUGAACUACCUAUGAUAUAUAUAUACAUUGAAAUGAAUUAUUUGAAGUUAUAUAAGCUAGGGCCGAAUGUUAUAUUGUGAAUUGAUUAUAUUCCGAGAAUUAUUUAAAUUAGAUGUGAAUUAUGUGAAAGACCGAUUUUGUAAGUUCAGGCUUUAUGCCUAGCAGGCUUUGUGCCGGUGAAUUAUAUCAGACUUUAUGUCUAGCAGGCUUUGUGCCGGUGAAAUGUAUCGGGCUUUGUGCCUAGCAGGCUUUAGCCGGUGUUUUAUACAAGGCUUUAUGUUCUAUAAAUCUUAUGUGAGCAAUAGUAAGAGUAAAUAAAAGUGUUAAGGAAAGCUAAAUUAUUCAGGUAUGUGUUAGCCAUUUGCUAAAUUGGUGAUAAGGUAGUGAUUAUUUUAAAUUGAUAAUAGUUCAAAUGAAAUAUAGAGUAUGAGUUAACCAUUUAAGUAUAAGUAUGUUUUGGCAUAAUGAUUUAUUAAAUAUUCGGCUUUGUUAAAUAUUUAUGUGUAUUUGGACAUAUGGUUUGUUUAUAUAAAAAUACAAUGUGAUCUUUAUUCAAGUCUUAUAUGGUACAGAAUAUUAGGAUAUUUGGUUUAUUUAACUUAAUGAUGGAAUAAGUAUUAAUAUAUAUAUAUAUAUGAAUUUUUGCUUAUGACUUACUAAGCCUUAAUAGCUUAAUGUGUGCUUGUAUUUGUUUACCUAUGUUUUAUAGAUUUUUGGAGUCGCAUUACGAGCUCGGGGAUCGUCAGCAUAGUCUAUCACACUAUCGACCGUCUUUGGUAUUUUGUAAAUUUGAAUUUGAACCUAUGCAUGUAUAGUCUAGUUAAUAUGUUUAAUUUUGGGAUAUGUGAAUAUGAGCCAUGCGAAAAUGGCUUAUUCAUUUUGGUUAAGCUUGGUUUUAUGUUUUUAAUCUAUUUGAUAUAUAUAUAUAUGAUGUUUAAAUUUAUGCAAAUUUCGGUUAUCUAUAUAGAAGUGUGAUGUGUUUAGCAUAUUGUUAAUAGUUGUAUAAAUUAGAUAUAUUUAAGCCUAUUUCGAAAGCAAUAUGUGUAUUAUAUGUAUAUGAUGUAUUGUAUAUAUGCUGUUAAAUUUUGGUGUAAAAGUGCUGUUAAAUUUGGUAUGUAUAUGCUGCCUAUUUGCUGUAUAUAAGCUGUCCAAAUUUCGGUGUAUAAAUGCUGUCCAAAUUGAUGUAUAAGAGCUGUCCAAACAAGGUAGAUUACCUAUAUUGUAAUAUGUAGUAUAGUUAGUAAAUUGAAAUGAAAUAAAUGUGUACGAAUAAAUGUUUAGAUACAUGCUUGAUUUAUGAUAUAUAAUCAUAUAGGUUUGGAAAUGUUUUAAGAAUUUGAAUUAUAUCAAAUUUUGAUUAGGUAAAUGAUAAUGAUAUGGUUGAAUUUUGAAACAUGGUUGGUAUAUGUAAUUUGAUUAAUGAUGCAUGUUUGGUUUUAAUUGAUUAUGUGCUUAAAUAUAAAUAUAUAUUUAUGGGAGGAAAUUUUGUGGUUGAGUUAGUAUAAAAAAAUAAAAAAAUUCGAGUUGGAUUUUGAUCGGUAAUGCCUCGUAACUCUAAUCCAGCGACGGACACGGGUCGGGGUGUUACAGAGAAUAGAAAGAGCCUUCAAAAAAGAGCGAGUGAGUGAUGGGCAACCUUAGUCUAUAUGUUGCUUGUGAGCCGCCAAGUACCAGUCUCGCAACAGUACUAGCGUUAAAGGAUUGGUCUUUCACUUGCUGAUCGUUCGCGAGUCAAACUCGCUCUCUUGCCAUGCCUUUCACUCAUUCACUUUAGUCAGACUCAAUCACUCUUUCCCUAAACACCCACUGCCUUAACCUUUGGAGGUGGGAUUCAGACCUGCAUACUUCAACCAUUGGUGCCUAAUUGCCUAAGAAGUUCAUUGUUCAACCAUUGGUGUGACUACCAAGGUAGUAGUCAAAUAGCAGAAAUUAAAUCCCCCCCCCCAAAGAUUCAGUGUCUCAAAAUCAAAAUCAAAAAACCGUUAACAGCAAAAAUCAAAAUCACAAUCAAAAUCAAAAAGCAAAAAACUACUUCGAAUUGGGUUAACAGGAAAUAGGGUUAACAGCAAACUCACCUUUGAAAUUCAAAGGUAGAAGACAUAGAAGGCUAGAAGCACCGUUAGAGCGGAGGUGGAGUCGUGGCGGACCGGAGGUGGAAUGGUGGAUCAGUGGAGGUGGAUUUUCGAUUUGGGGGAAAAAAAGGGAGGAUGGAAGGGGUUAGGGAUUUGUCAGAUGCACGGGGUUGGGGAAAUGGGAAAUGGGAAAUGGGGAGGGGAAA